CUUGACGAAGCUGAAUUUUAUUGCACAGCGGGUUUUGAUGUCAAACCCAUAUCUCAUGCUGCUCCUUUUCAAGUUCGUAAACGUUAGUAAUUAACCGAUGGGAAGGCGAUGUUUCAAUGAUUCAAGGUGCCUCCGAAGGCAUUAGCCAUGAAUUUGUGAGCCCAUUUACUCCAUCCCAAAAAAAAAAUUUUGAUUUUGAUUUUUCAUGUGGGUUUGGUCUUGUUUGCAAUUCUACAUUUUUUAUUUUUUUGGAAGAAAUCCAAUGUAUGAGAGGGAUAAAUUCAUUGCACUCUGCAGUUGUAAAUUGUACAUUGUUCUUGGUGCGGCUGAAUUUUUGUGGUGUUCCUGUGUUAAUAUCUGCCUUCAGGAAUUUUAUUGGGCAAGUUUAUCGCUUUCUUCUUGAAUUAUUGACUUCAAUGUUCUUCUAUACCGCUUCUGAUUAUUUGGGAAAGUUUAAAGUUGAUUUCUAAACUAUCCGUUCUACUAGAAAAUCGUGCAAGUUAUACUUGUUCGAGUCUAGGAUUUUUUUGAAGAAAGAAGCAAGUUAUGUAGGAUAAUUUAUUACUUUAAAUCAUCGGAUCUUUCAUGUUAAAUCAUCAAGAAAUACAUAAAUAUGACGGAAGCGUACCUGGAUCAGACAUGAUUGAUGCAAUAAUGAAUUCGCGAUUUUUCGGAAGGUCUUCCAAAAAAUCUACAUGCAACCUUCUUUUUCUCUCUAUGGUGGGAUGCAGAAGAGAAUGAAUAAUACGUACGUGUGAUCUGGGACCAUAACCGUAUUUAUAUAGCAACGCCCUUUGACCUAAUUCGGUCCAUCAUAGAAUUAGGACUUGGGCCCGGUUUCUACACGUAUAGAACCAACACUUUAAUUGGAUACAUUAAAACCCAAAAUGAAAGUCUUAUUAGAUCACUUUAAUUGGGCUCAACCAAAAUCAAUAGCCUUUAAUUAAUACACAACAAUUUACACAUAUAAGCCCACACGAUCGUUUAAAAAUUCUUUCCAAUUUCCCACUUGAGCUGUAUGUGUCGCCUUAUAAUUGUGCAUUAAAUAUAACCUUCUGAGUACUCAGAAUUUUGCUAUCAUUACUGAAUGCAUCCCCAAACAAUCCCGUCCAUCAAUAAUAUCAACAUAGGAUCAAAGUGGCUUUCGCUACUUUCAUGUAGCUAAACCCAUCAAUGAUUACGUAUAUCGAUAUAAUUGAAUGACAUGGAUCAAGCAUGGAAAUUACAUGUGAUGUGAUUUGUAACAUGCCUAUUUCCAACUGGUCCACCUUAAUACCUUAGUGAGAUCAUUUUAAAUAAGUUCAGAGAUAAUAAACCAAAUAACUUUGUAAUCGAAAAUAACUUUAACCUUAAAUUGUAUUCAAAAUAACAGUACAUGUGUCCAAAGUAAAAAACAAACUUCCACUGAAACUAGAUAUCCUCAAGAGACAUUACACCCAUAUGAGCAGUGUGCUCAUGAAAGACCUUGAGUAUCAAUCCCUUAGUAAGCGGAUCCACAACCAUGGAGUUUGUUCCAAUAUGCUCUAUUGACACCUGUCCACUCUGAACUCUUUCUUUAACAGCCAGGAACUUGAUCGCUAUAUGUUUCAACUUUGUCGAGCUCCUGUUGUUAUUGGAAUACUGCAUUGCUGAUUUAUUGUCACAAAAUAUCUUGAACGGUCUUUCUAUAUUGUCCACAAUGCGUAGCCCAGUGACAAAAUUACGCAACCAUAUUCCAUGAUUUGAUGCCUCAUAACACGCUAUAAAUUUAGCUCUAUGAUGGAAGUAGCAAUGAGUGUCUACUUAGCACUCUUCCAGGAAAUAGCACCUUCAGCAAGCAGGUAGAUAUAACCUGAAGUGGAUCUCCUACUAUCUUGGCAUCUCGCGAAAUCGGAAUCAGAAUAACCGACGAUCUCCAACUGAUCUGAUCUUCUGUAUGUGAGCAUGUAGUUCUUUAUUCUCUGUAAAUACCGCAUGACCCGUUUGGCUGCUUUCCAAUGAUCCAUUCCCGGAUAAUUUAAAUAUUUCCCUAGCAUCCCAACAAUGUACGCUAUAUCCAGACGCGUACAAAUCUGAGCAUACAUCAGAUUACCUAUAGCUGAGGAAUAAUGAAUCUUCUGCAUUUCUUUAAUUUCCAAGUCAUUUUUAGGGCACCGACGUAAACUAAACUUGUCUCCUUUAGCCACAAGGGUGUCACCUGGUUUACAAUCUCGCAUGCCAUAUCUUUUAAGUACAUUUUCGAUAUAGCUCUUUUGUGAUAAUCCAAGAAUACCCCGAGAACAAUCUCGGUGUAUUUGAAUUCCCAAUACAAAAGAAGCGUCACCAAAAUCUUUCAUCUCAAAAUUCUUUGCUAGAAAUCUCUUAUUUUCAUGCAAUAAGCCUAUAUCGUUGCUGGCAAGCAGUAUAUCAUCGACAUAUAAAAUCAGAAAAAUAUACUUGCUCCCACUGAAUUUGUGGUAUAUACAAUCAUCGACCAAAAUUCAUCUCAAAACCAAAUGAGAUGAUCACUUGAUGAAACUUGUAAUACCAUUGACGAGACGCCUGUUUGAGUCCCCAGAUAGAUUUCUUUAAUUUACAAACCAUUUGCUUUGCAUCAUUCAAUACAAAGUUUUUUGAUUGUACCAUAUAAAUUGUUUCAUCAAUGUCAUCAUUGAGAAAUGCUGCUGUAAAAUUUUGUUUCGCAAGUGUACGACCCGUAACAAGUAAUAGUGGACCUAAGAGUCUGAUUAUCGAUCCCACAAGGACUAUUUUCUAGUAUUUAAUUUAAUCUUUCUUUAACUACUAUUUGACGAAUACAAAUCAAAGGUUAUAAAAUCUGGGUUUUAAUCUAAAUUCUAGAAAAUAAAUGAAUGUUCACACAAUUGGUUGGAGAAUCAAAUAAUGAAUGGAUGUUAGGGUAGAAUAACUUCACCAAUUGAUCACCUUUACAUCUCAAAUUAAAACUCAAUUCUAAUGUAGCGCUCGGUCGAAUUCUCCUAUUGUAAUCAAUUUACCCUUCUCGAGUUCUCAUUGAGCCUAUUCAACUAAUUAAAUUUCACAUCUCUAUGCAAAUUCAACUUAGUUAAACGAGUUCUAUGUUUUCGGAAUUCAAUUAUGACCGCAAUAAAUGGUAUAGGCAUCUCUACUCGUUAUACAAAUGUAUUGGAUUUUAUUACAUGGUUUAAAUUCUAAACUCAUAUUUCUAUUUGUAAAGAAUUCACAAAAAUCAUCAAAAUUAUUGAUCAAAUAAUUUAAUGCAUUCAAAUCAUAGCAAAAUCAACACAUGGAAGAAUUAAAAAUUGAAAGUCUUAAUAAGAGAAUGUAAAAGAUCCCAAUUGCUUACAAUAUUCCCCUUAAUAAUGAAUUUAGCUACUCAUAAUAUAAGAAGAAAAGAAGAAAUUUGUCUUAGAAUAUAUCACCGAGUUUGAAAUAAAGAUACAGAAGAAAAAGUGGAAUUCUUGCACCAAGAUCUCCUUCUUCUUCCAAUGAAUGCUUCCAAUCUUCAAUUCUUGGUGUUAGUCUUCUUGAAUUUCUCCUUUGAAUUUCCCUUCUUGUUGUUUCCUCUCCAAUAUGUCAAGAACUCUUCAAAAGUAUGAGGAAUAUGUAUUUAUAGGUGCCCCUCCGUUUUAUGUAGAAGUAGGGUUUUUAUGGAUUUAAAAACGGCUCAAAAAAAGUGUCCUAAAUCAUCAAUUGUAGCGCCUAGGCGCUACAAGACAGCGCCUAAGCGCUAGCUAUAGCACCUGGGCACUAUGUCUUCAGCACCUAGGCACUGAUGGUAGAGCCUAGGCGCUAUGGUGCGCCCGGGCGCUAUGGUUUCAGCGCCUAGGCGCUGCCUCUUGAGUCUAAAUUUCAUCUUUUUUUAGUUUCGUAACGCCUAGACGCUAUGAGUGCAGCACCUAAGCGCCGUCUUUCUGCCCCAAUUCCGUGUCUUUAGCCUCUUCAUCCACUUUAAUACUUCUUUUCACAUCGCUUCUCCUUAUCUUCAAAACAACACUAACAAAUACAUCAAAAACAUUCUAUACUCAUAAAAUCUAGCAUUUAAUCAAGCUAAAAUUAUGCUAAAAUCAUGAGUGAAACAAACUCAUCAAAUACCCUCGAACUUCACCAUUUGCUAGUCCUCGAGCAAACACUAAAAUCCAUAAAAAUAAUUAAUGGACACACAAGCACAACCUAGACAAACAAAAUCACUUAAAAUAAAUUUUGCUAGAUAGCUUACCUUCAUGUCUUAGAAUUAAAAACAUAACUUCGAUUCCAUGGACCACUUCAAAGCUAUAAUGCAAAAGUUAAAUUCUUACUUAUUCAAUGCAAAACGGGUGUGUGUGUGGAGAGUCAAGUGCAACACUGUACAAUAAUAAGUUGACCCAAUUCCCGACCUUAGAAGUCAAAUUUUUCCUUACUUUGCUCGUGGGAUUCACAUACCCCCAAACUUAUUUUCUUUUCUCUUUCCAAUGGUGUAACCUAAGGUUAAAUUUUCAAUACUAAUUUCUUACACCACUCAAGUUUGGUUAGAUUUUACUGAUUGUAGUUCCACAUGUCAACAAAUGAGGAUUCUCCUUAUUUUUGACUGCUUCAACCUCUAGAAAUCAACCAAGUUACUAACCCCUUAUCAAAGAUCUAAUCCUCUAAAAUAAGUGUUCGGGGCUUAAUCAAGGCAUUUGAUAUCUAUUUUUUUCUCUUUUUUUUUCAUAUAUAUCUUUAUUCUUUAAUCACUCUUUGUGCGGAUGUCUCUAUCUUAAGCUUUCUAAAUGACCCCUGUAGCGAGUUUUAGGCCGAUGACUCCCAAAUCAGAUGACUUUAGGACACCAGGUUUUAAACCCUUACAUGCUUAAUCACUCGAGUCAUAAAGGCUACGAAGAGAUGAUUCACAAUGAGAUUAUUAAAGUUGUCCUCAUUGGGAUCUUUUUUUUAUACGGUGAUUAGUGCAAUGCCCCUUAUUAAACACCUAUCUUCGAAAAUUGACCUCUAACUUAAGGUUUUCACCCAAUUUUCAUCCCAUUAGUCUCAGACAGUCCACACAAAAAUUAACACACACGAAAUCCACAUUUAUCUCCAAGUUUCCCUACAACAAUGCAAUCAUCCAAACGUCCAAAGUUUGGUUUAAGGGUAUUGUGAUGUUUAAUGGUUGUUUGGGUUUAGCAUCUAAGUUCUUUAUCUCAACCUAUAAACGUGAAUCAACAUACUCAUGCUCAACGCUACAAUCAACUCACGUGCAAAAAAUAAUUUUCGUUUCACAAGAAUAAGCAAAAAUCUAACUCAAACACAUAACUCAUCCACAAUUCAUAAAUCAAAGCAUGUUCUCAGUUACACAUAUCAAUACCGGCAUGGUUAUUUAACACACACAAGCAUGCAAAAACAUGAAACGAAUUUUUUUUUUGAAUAAAAACACAAACACAUAAAACAAGCAAAUCACACAUAAGCAUUCGAGAAACUCAACAACAUAAGCAAAUUUAUUCACACCGCCCAAACUUAACUGAAACAUUGUCCUCAAUGUGAAAUAGAAACAAAAUGGGGAUGGGACUUACCUAACGGACGACGACUAAUCGUCGUCCUCGACAUCGUCAUCCUUGGUAUUCGAAAUAGGAUUGGCAGCGUGAUCAGGUAGGAGACGCAGCUGAGGAAAUGUUCGAUCGGAGUAAAUCGAAGCCAAUACCGCAUUGAACUCAUGUUGAUAAUGGAAUUGCUCGCACAAUGUAUUUUGCAUCAAAUUCAUUUGCAAUUGCAUGCCAUGAAGCUGAGCGGCAAGGGCAGAAGUGGGAUCACUAGCUGGUGUCGGUCGGCGUGAACGGGGUGGCUGGUGGCUCUGAGGAGGGAGUGAAGCACUGGUGGAUUAGGAGCGACGUAAGAACUUCCAAGUACGCGCUCGUGUGAUAGCCGAUUUGGGGUGCACAACUUCCUCAGUCGGAUAUGUGACAACACCGCCCGCUAAGCAAAGCUCAUAAAUCAACGAUGGGUACCCUAGACCACCUGUCGUCGAUCCUCUCAAAGUGUGUAAGAUGUUGUUGUGAAUAACUUUACCAACAUCAAUUGAUAGGCGGCAUUGAAUGUCAUAAUUGAGGGUAGCCCGUUCUUUUGUUACUUCACUUAAGUUGCUACUGGGAAUAAGUUUGCCAAAAAUGAAGUGAUGCCAAGCCUUACAACCCAAAGUCAUACCAGAAGCAGGGAAGUUAAUUACAUCAGUCUCUGAACGUUUCCAUGUAGUACCAGUUGUGGUCAAGACUUGAAUAACCUCAUCAGGAUCAACACCUUCGUCACAAAGUCUAGAGUACUCGUCAUUUUCAAUAUCUUGCAAAUGAUAAAACCUAUUGAUGGAGGUUCUAUCAAACGGUAUCCAUUUACCCCGCCAAACACUCGAAAAUCUCGAUGCACCUUCGCAUUGGAGUAGAACUCCUUAACAACCGGAAUUAGCACCGGUCGUGGUUGCCGAGCAAACAUUUCCCAAUUUCGUCGAUCUAUCUGCUCUGUCAUAUAAUUGUCAAAACCACAUUCAGGGAUACAUGUCUUGUGUACCACCAAGCUAUUAUAACGUUCAGCGGCCUCGGCACUAAUGAAUUUGCUCUUGUCAAAUGAGCUAGAAGAGGAGGCUGCGGCUUUAGAUUUCUUUUUAGGUAGCAUUGGACCUGUGCAAGGGUAGAACAAGCAAACCAUGAGCAAAAACAGUAAUAAAGGAAAAUAAGGCAAGGCUUAAAAUCUAGCCAUAAGAGGGAACUAUGGUCAAACGUGCAAUAGAUGUAUUCUAAACCCAAUUUCAAUUCACGAUCAUCUACAUGGCAAUUCCCACAUAAUUCAAUUAGCACAAUAGCCAAAAUAGCUCCUUUGUACCCAAAUAAGUUCACCUAGACAAUUCAUCAAACACUUUGGGGAGUAAUUCAUGCCACAUUAUUCGCACCACACACAAAUUUCUUGACACUACAACAAAGCAAGCCCUCCUCUUAACAUACUUAUAAAAAAUAGGCACAUAAAAGCAACAACUAUCAUGUAAGAGAGGCAAAAAAUAGGGAGCAAAUACAAUAGCCAUACCUGGAAUGGUGUUGUGGAAACUAAUUGGGAUGGAUGAAUUCACACUUAGCAACAAUGAGAUGUGAAAAACAAUAAGGGAGACUGGGAGGAAGAUAAGAGGGAAGAGGGAGGAGAUGAGAGGGAAAAGGGGGUUGGAGAAUCUCAUAUGUGAGGAGGGAGGGGGGUUGAGGUUAUAAGAAAUAGAAAAGAAAUGAAAAAAAAUAAAAAACAAAAAAAAUUGGGGGAGGGUUAAGUUGUUUCUGUCGAAACGCGGCAGAUGCAGCGCCUGGGCACUGCGUUUCUGCCGAAACAAGCAGUUUGGCGCUACGAAACUCAGCGCCUAGGCGUUGAGUUUCUGCCUGUUUUGUAAUUUUUUUUUACCUCACCCUUUUCACACUCAUUCAUUUUCAUUGUAGAACUCAAAUUCCUUAAUAUGUAACCUUCAUGGAUUCUCCUACAAAAACAAACAAAAGAAAGUGUUACUAUGAUAGCAUAAAUUAUUAAAGGAAGAAAACAAAAUCAAUGCAUAAACCAAUAAUCAAAUAAAGGGUAGAGCUUGGGUUGCCUUCCAAGAAGCGCUUCUUUUAAGUCAUUAGCUGGACGUAGUGCCACAGUUAUUCGGGAACAGCUAGAUCAAGACUCUCUUUAACGGUGGGAAAAUCUUCCACAUAAUGCUUGAUGCAUUGACCUUUUACUUUGAAAUUUCCUUUAGUUGGAUGGUGUAAUUCAACUGUCCCGUAGGGAAACACCUGAGAGACCGUAAAAGGGUCGGACCAUCGAGAUUUCAAUUUUCAUGGCAAAAGUUUAAGCUAGGAAUUGUAUAAUAGCACUUGAUCCCCCACUCAAAAAAUUCGUUGCCUGAUGUUCUUGUCGUGCCAUUUCUUUGUCAUUUCCUUAUAGAUGGAUGCAUUCUCAUAUGCCUCUCUUCUGAAUUCCUCCAACUCAUGUAGUUGUAGUACUCUUGUUUCUCCAGUCUUUUUGAGGUCCAUGUUUAACUGCUUCAAUGCCCAAUAUGCUCUGUGCUCAAAUUCCACUAGUAGGUGGCAUGCUUUCCUAAAGACUAGUCAGUAUGGGGACAUUCCUAUAGGUGUCUUGUAAGCUGUGCGAUAUGCCCAUAAAGCAUCGUGCAAUUUUUUGACCAAUCCUUGCGAGAUGCAUUCACAGUGACCUCCAAAAUUCUUUUCAAUUGUCUGUUUGAUGUUUUCACCUAUCCACUUGUCUGAGGGUGAUAAGGAGUGGCAAUUCGAUGUUGUACUCUGUAUUUAUGCAAAACUGCCUAGAACAACCGAUUGCGGAAGUGCGUUCCACCAUCACUUAUAAUGGCCCUAGGUGAUCCAUAUCGAUUAAACAUGUGUUUCUUUAUGAAGUCCACCACCACCCUUGCGUCAUUUGUAGGCAAUGCUUUAGGUUCUACCCAUUUUGAAACAUAAUCCACCGCAACCAGGAUGUACCGAUUGUUGUAAGAUGAUGGAAACGGACCCAUAAAAUCAACCCCCCAGAUAUCAAAUAUUUCCACUUCCAAAAUGUUGUUAAGUGGCAUCUCGUGACGCGCUGAUACGUUACCUGUUCUUUGACACUUAUCGCAUGACCUACAGAAACUGUGGCAGUCCUUGAACAAUGUAGGCCAAAAGAAACCACAUUGGAGCACCUUUGCUGCUAUUUUAGUGGGGGCCAAAGUUCCCUCCAUAAGCCGAAGCAUGUACUCGUGAAAGGAUCGAUUUCAUUUCAUCCUCAGGCACACAUCUCCUAAUGAUCUGGUCUGCCCCUCUCCUAUACAAAUUUGGAUCAUCCUAUAAUAGAAAUUUCACUUCAUUUGUUGAUAGGUGAGAUCCGGAUCCAUAUAGCCACUGGCUAAGUAAUUAACAAUGUCUGCAUAUUACGUGGCUUUUUCUACCUGCAGUAACUGUUCAUCUGGGAAGACCUCAUUGAUAUUCAUAUCAUCUGAAUCCUGAUGUUUCUCUAUCCUUAACAAGUGAUCCGCUACCUGAUUUUUUGUUCAUAUUUUUCACGAAUCUCGAUGUCAAAUUCUUGUAGUAACAGCACCCAGUGAAUUAGCCUUGGUUUCGCGUCCUUCUUCUCAAACAAAUACUUAGAGCUGCAUGGUCUGUAUAAGCUAUCACCUUGGACCCAAUCAAAUAAGAAUAGAAUUUGUCAAAAGCAAAAACAACCGCAAGCAAUUCCUUUUAAGUUGUUGCAUAGUUGAUUUGAGCAUCAUUCAAUGUUUUGCUAGAAUAGUAGACGACAUUAAAUACUUUUCUGUUGCGUUGUCCAAGCACUGCCCCCACUGCAAAGUCACUAGGCAAUUCCCAAUUUGGAGCCACUAUCACAGGUGCCGAUGUCAAUUUUUCUUUCAAAGUGUUGAAGGCUUUCAAACACUCAACAGAAAAUUCAAAGGGUAUAUCUUUCUCCAGCAGGUUGCACAACGGUUUUGUAAUUUUUUCAAAGUCUUGAAUGAAUCUUCUAUAAAACCUUGCAUGUCCCAGAAAACUCCUGAUCCCCUUUACUGAAUUAGGUGGCUGUAAUUUCUCAAUCACCUGUAUUUUGGCUUUGUCCACUUCAAUCCCCUGUGCAGAAAUUCUAUAUCUCAGUACUAUUCCUUCCUUUACCAUGAAAUGACAUUUUUCCCAAUUAAGCAGAAGACUCUUCUCCUCAAAUCUUUGCAAUAUAAGAGCCAACCGCUCCAAGCAAUCGUCAAAAGAAUCUCCAAACACAGAAAAAUCGUCCAUAAAAACCUCAAUGUACUAUUUACCAUGUCAGAAAAGAUGGCCAUCAUGCAUCGUUGAAAGGUUGGUGGUGCAUUGCAUAAACCAAAAGGCAUUCUUCUAAACGCAAACGUUCCAUAAGGGCAUGUGAAGGCUAUCUUCUCUUGGUCUUCUAGAGCAAUUACUAUCUGAUUGUACCCUGAAUAUCCGUCCAGAAAGCAAUAAUGCGAAUGUCUUGCCAACAUUUCCAACAUCUGAUCAAUGAAUGGCAAUGGAAAAUGGUCUUUUCUGGUUGCAUUAUUUAGCUUUCUAGAAUCUAUGCAUACUCUCCACCCUGUCACUAACUGAGUUGGUAUAAGCUCGUUGUUCUCGUUCUACUCCACUGUGAUUCCACCCUUUUUAGGUACAACAUGUACAGGACUCACCCACGAAUUAUCAGAUAUGGGAUAAAUUAUUCAUGCAUCCAAUAAUUUCAGCACUUCUUUUCGCAUGACUUCUUUCAAGGUUGGAUUCAAUUGGUGUUGUCCUUCCACUGAUGCCCUUGACCCGUCCUCCAUUAGAAUCUUGUGCAUGCAAAGAGUUGGACUGAUCCCUCUUAUAUCUGCUAUUGUCCAUCCAAUUGCCAUUUUGUGUUGCCUGAGUACCUCCAACAAUUUAUUCUUCUCUUCCCUUAGCAUGUCAUUUGCAAUGAUUACUGGUAGUGUUGACGAUUUUCCCAAAUAUGCAUAACGAAGAUGGAAAGGUAAGGGCUUAAGUUCAAGAGUGGGUGCCUUUUCCACUGAGGGUACCGGGGGAGAAGGGUUGUCUCCUAGAGAUUCAUACUGCCAAUGCCUUCUUCCUAUGGGUUGCUCGGCUUAGUUGACAACACAUUCAGCUUUUCCUGCAUUUGUUGCUUCCAAUUGUGCAAGUUCUGCCUCACAAAGAUUUGUGUGAUGCUCUAUAUCAAAUGUAUCCGCCACAAGCUCUUCAAGAACAUCAACUUGGCAGCAAGUGUCGGAAGUCAAUGGGUGUUUCAUUGCUUUGGACACGUUGAAUAUGACUUACUCAUUGUCCACUCGAAGAAUCAUUUUUCCAUCAUACACAUCAAUCAAUGCUCUCCCAGUAGCUAAAAACGGUCUUUCCAAGAUCAGAGAAAUAUUUGAGUCCUCUUCCAUGUCCAAAAUGAUGAAAUCAGCCGGAAAAAUAAAUUUAUCAACUUUAACCAGCAUGUCUUCAAUAAUUCCCUUUGGUCGUUUGAUCAAUCUGUCGGCCAGUUGCAAAGAGAUUGUUGUAGGUUUUGCUUCUCCUAAUCCAAGAGACCUGUAAACAGAGAGAGGCAUCAAAUUAACACUGGCACCUAAAUCACAUAAAGAAUGUUCAAAGAAAUUAGAACCAAUUGUGCAAGGUAUAGUGAAACUCCCUGGGUCUUUUAGUUUUGGAGGUAGCUUUCUCAAUAGUAUUGCACUGCACUCCUCGUUCAAACAUACUGUCUCAUGUUCUUCUAGCUUUCUUUUAUUAGAUAGGAUCUCUUUCAAAAAUUUUGCAUAGCUGGGCAUUUGGGCAAUUGCGUCUGCAAAAGGAAUAUUGAUGUACAGUUUCUUGAAAAUCUUCACAAACUUAGCAAACUGAUUCAACGUCUUUCUUUGUAACCUUUGAGGGAAGGGAAUUGGUGGCACAUAAGCCUUCACGGGGCUAGGUGCUCUUACUGCAGGUGUUUCAUUCCUUUCGUUUUCCUUGUCAGUUGGUUGUUCAAACUCUACUUCUUUCCUAGCCUUUUCACCCAUUAUUUCCUUUUCUUUUCGCUCAGGUCUCUUCACAUGUAUUUCUGGAAGUUGCACCCCACUCCUGGUAGUAAUAGCUUGUACUUUCUCUUUUGGAUUGACCAUUGUGUUGCUUGACAAUGUCCCUUGUGGGCGUUCUGCAAGCUGUUGAGCUAUCUGACCAAUUUGUGUUUCCAACUUCUAGAUUGAUGCUUGCUGAUUCUGAAAAUUAGUGUCAAUCUGCUGAAACACCUUGUCAGUCUUCUGCAUGUACUGGUUGAACAUCUCUUCCAAACUUGGUUUUUUCUCCUGUUGUGCAUUAUUUGAACUGUUCCCUUGUUGAUUAUCCGACCAUCUGAAGUUUGGGUGUUAUCUCCAUCCUAGGUUGUAUGUUUGAGCAAAUGGAUUAAAAUUUCGAGACCCAUUCUGAAUGAAAUUGACCUGCUCGUCGGGAUAGCCUAUAGAUGUGCAGUUUUUUGUCAGAUGAUUAGCCCCCCAGUUCUCGCAUGAUAGACCAGCUAUCACUGCAUGUGCUCAUUUUGUUUGUGAUUUCGCCAAUAACUCCACUUGUUUUGUCAAUGCCACUAUUUGGGCGUUGGUAACUGCUGCGCUGUCUAACUCAUGCAUUUUUCCUGUCUUCGGUGGUGCCACUCUUUUCGAUGAGAACAUGGAAUGUGUAGUAACAAUCAACUCAAACAGUUCCAUGGUUUGCUGCACAGAUUUUCCUAUAAUCGAUCCUCCAGCUGAGGCAUCGACUUGAGAUUUUGAUAAUGGUGUAAGUCCAGUGUAGAAGUACUGCACUUGAUUACCUAUAGUAAUUCCAUGGUUUGGGCAUUUUCUCAUCAACUCAUUAAACCUAUUCCAUGCUUCGUGAUAGCUUUCUCCCUCUUUCUGUUGAAAAGUUUGAAUUUCUAAUCUGAUUUUAGCUACCCUCGCCGGUGGGAAAAAUUUAUUACAGAACUUCCUAAUUAGUUCUUCCCAUGUAAUAAUGCUAGCGUGAGGCUCAGCAUCUAACCACUCCAAUGCAGCAUCUCUCAAUGUAAAUGGGAAUAGUCGUAGUUUAAUAGCAUCUUCAUUCACUCCCGGAGCAUGAAAGUUCUGACAGUUUUUGAGAAAUCUAGAAAUAUGCGUGUUUGGAUUCUCUUGAGGUAGUCCGUAGAAUUGCAGGGUGUUGCUCAUCAAGUUAAUCCAAUCCGGCAUAAUCUGAAAGUUAUUCACCCCAAAAUCUGGAUACAGGAUACUGGAGCACAUGGGUGCUACUAUAGGUGUCAGGAACAUUGAUACUGGCAAAUUCCCUUCAUUUAUUUCCCUUCGUUCAUGUUGUUGUUCCUGUGGUGCUACCACUCUUGCGGCCAUUUGUCCAAUCGGCUGAAUAGGGAUAUGGAUUUGUUGAUUGUCAGCCAUUUGAUGUUGCUAUUUUUGUUUGUGUUCCUUGAGUCUUCGUCUGAAGGUACGUUCUAUCUCCGAAUCAAACGGUUCAAGAUCAUCGCCUUGGGUACGGAGCAUACAACGAACACAAUUUUCUGUAAUUAAAAGAAAAAUAAACAAAUCAAAUAAAAGUCAAAAUAAAAUAAAUAAAUUAAGACUAAAAGAAAUAGUCCCCGGUAAUGGCACCAAAAACUUGUAAAAUUUUGUUUCGCAAGUGUACGACCCAUAACAAGUAAUAGUGGACCUAAGUGUCCAGUUAUCGAUCCCACAAUGACUAUUUUCUAGCACUUAAUUUAAUCUUUCUUUAACUACAAUUUGACGAAUACAAAUCAAAGGUUAUAAAAUCUGGGUUUUAAUCUAAAUUCUAGAAAAUAAAUGAACGUUCACACGAUUGGUUGAAGAAUCAAAUAAUGAAUGGAUGUUAGGGUAGAAUAACUUCACCAAUUGAUUACCUUUACAUCUCAAAUUAAAACUCAAUUCUAAUGUAGCGCUCGGUCGAAUUCUCCUAUUGUAUUCAAUUUACCCCUCUCGAGUUCUCAUUGAACCUAUUCAACUAAUUAAAUUUCAUAUCUCUAUACAAAUUCAACUUAGUUAAACGAGUUCUAUGUUUUCGAAAUUCAAUUAUGAUCGCAAUAAAUGGUAUAGGUAUCUCUACUCGUUAUACCAAUGUAUUGGAUUUUACUACAUGGUCUAAAUCCUAAACUCAUAUCUCUAUUUGUAAAGAAUUCACAAAAAUUAUCAAAUUAUUGAUCGGAUAAUUUAAUGCAUUCAACUCAUAGCAAAAUCAACACAUGGAAGAAUUAAAAACUGAAAGUCUUAAUAAGAAAAUGUAAAAGAUCCCAAUUGGUUACAUUAUUUCCCCUAACGAUGAAUUUAGCUACUCAUAAUACAAGAAGAAAAGAAGGAAUUUGUCUUAGAAUACAUUACCGAGUUUGAAAUAAAGAUGUAGAAGAAAAAAUGGAAUUCUUGCACCAAGAUCUCCUUCCUCUUCCAAUGAAUGCUUCCAAUCUUCAAUUCUUAGUGUUAAUCUUCUUGAAUUUCUCCUUUGAAUUUCUCUUCUUGUUGUUUUCUCUCCAAUAUGUCAAGAACCCUUCAAAAGUAUGAGGAAGAUGUAUUUAUAGGUGCCCCUCCAUUUUAUGUAGAAGUAGGGUUUUUAUUGAUUUAAAAACGGCCCAAAAAACGCGCCCUAGAUCGUCAAUCGCAGCGCCUAGGCACUACAAGACAGUGCCUAAGCGCUAUGGCGCUAUGGUUGUGGCGCCUAGGCGCUGUGGUGGCACCUGGGCGCUAUGGUUUCGGCGCCUAGGCUCUGCCUCUUGGGUCCAAAUUUCAUCUUUUUUCAGUUUUGUAGCGCCUAGGCGCUAUGAGUGCAGCGCCUAAGCGUCGUCUUUCUACCCCAGUUUCGUGUUUUUGGCCUCUUCGUCAACUUUAAUACUUCUUUUCACAUCGCUUCUCCUUAUCUUCAAAACAACACUAACAAAUACAUAAAAAAUGUUCUAUACUCAUAAAAUCUAGCAUUUAAUCAAGCUAAAAUUGUGCGAAAAUCAUGAGUGAAACAAACUCAUCAAACGCUGUCUUAAUAUCCAUCUGAUGUAACUCAAGAUCGAAAUGCACUAUCAAUGCCAUUAUAGUACUGAAAAAGUCUUUUGAAGAAACCGGAGAGAAAGUCUCUUUAUAAUCGAUGCCUUCUUUCUGUGUAAAGCCUUUUGCGACAAGACGAGCCUUUUACUUCUCUACAUCACCUUUCAAAUCCCUCUUAGUCUUAAAUAUCCAUUUGCAAUCAAUGGGUUUCAUACCUUCAGGCAAUGGAAUGAAGUCUCAUACGUCAUUGUCUUUCAUGGACUUUAUCUCUUCAUUCAAGGCAUCGAGCCACUUUUGAGAUUAGACCUUUCCGUGGCUUAACGAAAGUUGAUCGGAUCAUUUUCCACCAUUCCAAUGCCAAUUUUAUGUUCUUGGAGAAAUACGAUGUAAUCAUCCAAAAUCGCACUUUUCUUCUCUCUAAUGGAUCUUCUUAAUGACAUUGGUUUUUGAGGCUGUAGAGUUCGUUCUUUUGAAAUAAUUUGUUGAUCUUGAGAGGGAGAUAUGACAUUGUCUUGAUCCGGAGUUGCUUCUUGAACAAUGUCAGGAAUAGAAACCUAAUUAUUGUCAAUGGCAAUUGGAGGAAUUUCAACAUAUUCCUCCUCAAAGACAAAGCCUGUAACCCUUUCUCCCCCCGAAAACUCAACAUCAUCAAUGAAUCGAGCAUUUCCUGUCUCGAAAAUUCCCUUAGUUGUAGGAUCAUAAAACUUGUAACCCGUGGACCUUUCAGAAUAUCCAAUAAAAUAGCAACUGAUGGUCCUUGCAUCCAAUUUCUUUUCAUUUGGCUUAUAGGGCCUUGCCUCAGCUGGACACCCCCAAAUAUGUAUAUGUUUCAAACUAGGCUUCUUGCCCAUCCAAAGCUCAUAUGGGGUUUUAUCAGUGACCUUAGUUGGAACUUUGUUAAGUAUAUAUGUAGCAGUCUUUAAUGCUUUACCCCAGAGAGAUUUUGAUAAGGUAGAAUGACUAAUCAUACUCCUCACCAUGUUCUUAAGCGUUCUAUUUCGUCUUUUAGUAACACCAUUCAUAGCGGGCGAACCUAGCAUAGUGCACUGUGGGACGAUGCUGCAUUCGUCUAGGAAUUUAGCAAAUAGUCCUGAACGUUGUUCACUUGAACCAUCAUAUCUGUCAUAGUAUUCACCCCACGGUCAGAUCUGACGCUUUUAAUCCUUUUGUCGAGUUGGUUCUCAACUUUGACUUUAUAGUUUUUGAACACAUCCAGUGACUGUGAUUUUUCAUAAAUGACAUAUACGUAGCCAUAUCUAGAAAAGUCAUCUAUGAACGUUAUAAAAUAUUGUUGACCAUUCCAAGAACCCGUAGGGAAUGGUCCACAAAUAUCCGUAUGUAUAAGUUUUAAGACGUUCGAAGUCCUAUUGGCUUGAAAUCUCCUUUUAUUGGUUUGUUUUUCUUUUAUACAGUUGACACACAAAUCAUAAUCUAUGAAGUCAAGGGGGUCGAGAAUCUCGUCAGACACAAGUCUCUCAAUUCUCCUUUUGGAGAUGUGACCUAAUCUCUUGUGCCACAACGAGACAGAAUCCUCACAGAUUAAUUUUUCGCUUUACACUUCAAGUACUUACAUGCAAGGAUUCAUUAGAAGAAGCAAUUGUAUCAAUUGAAUAAAGACUAUCAUAAUCUGAUAAAGAACCGGAAUCAACCAAUUUUGAAUCAUGAAACAAACCAAAAUUUCCAUUUCCAAAUGAACAAAAAUAACCAAAUUUGUCAAAAACAGAAUUUUAUCUAAAAGACGGUACAAUAAAGGUCUCAAUAAGAUCCAAAUAAAAUUCAGUCUUUAACAAUAAUCUAAAUUUUCCUAUUGUCUCUACUUCCACCUUCUUGCCGUCACUAGCAUAGAUGUAUCUUUCACCAUUACUUUGUUUUCGGCAACUCAGACAACUCUGCAUAGAAUACUAAUGUGAGUUGUUGCAUCAAAAUCUAUCCACCAUGUUUCUCUAGGUACCGAAGUUAAAUUAACCUCAGAACAAACCAAAUGAAGAAGAAUACAUUUCUUUACACACCAUGCGUGGUAAUUGGUGCAAUUAUUGUUCUUAUGACCUACAGCUCCACAGAAGAAACAACCACCUUCAGUCGGUUCCUUAUGCUAUUUCUUUUGUGGUGCUGUACUCGCAGCUUCCUUAUUAAUCUUCAUUUUCUUGUUCCUUUUGUUCUUAGAGGUGAUGGCUAAAUGAGCACUUUCUGUCUUCUCAUACUUCAAUCUUUCCUCUUCCUGGAUACAGUGUGAGAUGAGCUCAUUAAGGGACCAUGAGUCCUUUUGAUAGUUGUAGCUCACCUUGAAUUGAUUGAAAUGUACCGAAAGGGAUAUCAGAACCAAGUACACUAACAAGUCUUCGGAUAAAUCCAACUUGAGUGCCUUUAGUUUUGAAACAAUGUGAGACAUUUCCAUAAUGUACUCCCAAAUGUUUCCUUUCACUUUAUACCUCAUCGAGACAAGGUUUGCCAAAAGUGUACUUGUUUCAGCCUUUUUAUUCUUGGCAAACCGCUUCUCUAGAUCUUCAAGGAAACCCUUAGUUGUAGUCAUCUUAUUUGACAUAGCACGCUUCAUGACCAUUAAGUUUAUGCGGUUUGAUCAUUCCCACUUUUCCAUCUUUCUCUUGUCAUCAGAGGUACUCUUAUCAGUAAGUGCAGCAGGUUGAUCGACCUGUAAAGAAAAGUCCAGGUCCAUGACUCUGAGAACAACCUGAAGUUUGUGCCAUUUAGCAUUGUAAUUGAAUUGAUACUAGCAGAGAUAUUAGCAGCAGAACCUAAAACUGAAUUAGAGAAUGAUUAUUAUGAAUAGUUCACAUGAAUACGUUUAAUAUGCAAAUAAUAAUAAUCUCAAAUAGUGGUAGGGCCCAUCAUAAGAUACUUAGCACAACAUCAAUAUCUAGUCUUUGGACAUAGAUAUUGACUUGUAAGCGGUAUUCUUGGCGUACUGAUCAAACAUUGAUAAUAAAACAAUGUAUCAAUCAAUAAAUCUUUUUUGGACCGAUUUAUCGAUCACACAUUAAACCAAAUAAUCGUCACUCGUUUAUCACCACAGGUGUACGUGUAUUCGGCUAAAUAUUGACCUUCCUUUGGGCCGAUCAAUAUUCUCAUGAAUAACAAAUACACAAAUACCUUUUAAUAUUCUAAGUUAAUUAAUUUCCACAAAAGAGGUUGUUUUGGCAACAUGUUGCUUCAAUUAACUAGCUUUCGAACAUUAUAUCUCUUAAAAGAGUCUUUAGUACAAAAAUUUGAGAAAGAGAAUUACCAAUUUUGCAUAUUUUAUUUAGUUUUAUACUUUAGGGGCCUUAGGAUUAAUAAUUCAAAACUUUAAGGGGCAAAAUUAAUUAAUUCCAAGCUUUAGGGUUUGAAAUUAAUAAACUUGAAACUCUAGGGACCAAAAUUUAUUAAUUCAAGACUUUAGAGGAUCAAUUAGAACAAAUUUGAAACUUUAGGGGCCAAAAAUUGACCAAUUCAAAACUUUAGGGAUCAAAAUUUGAAAUUUUAAAACUCUGAGGGUCAAUUUGAGUUAAUUAUAAACUUUGGGGGCCAAUUAGAAUUAAUAAUUAAAGUUUGAGGGCUUUAAUUAUAAAAUUCAAAAUUUUAAUGGCCCGAAUUAAUUAAUUUUUAAACCUUAAGGACUAAAUUAUUAAAUCCAAAACUUAAAGGUCCAAAUCUUAAUAUAACUUCAAUGUUAGGGACUGAAACCUUAAUUUUACAACCCUAACCUAAUUGCAAACAGGGGCCUCAAGUUAUCCAAUUUACAUGUGAGGCCCCCGCCCCGAAAUCAACCAAAAUCUGAAAACCUAAAAAAAAAUUUCUUUCCUCUUCUCUCUCUCGCGAUGCCAGCGGCUAGCACCGCACCAGCAGCAGCCCAGCGCUUCUACGACACGCUGCUGUGAUACCGGCGACACACCCGCCACUGCCCAGAUCUUGUUAAAUUUUUUUUAUUAUAUAAAUCCCCAAAGAAUCUGAAUCUAGAACCAAAAAACCAUAAUCUGAAUUCUUCUCAAUUAUUAAUCCAAAUUAUGAAAAUAACGAAAAAUUAUAUCGCAAAAGUUUUCAAAUUCAACAAAAUAUAGAUCCAAAAUUGUUAAAUGUGAAAACUUCAAAAAAUGUAUUGCAAGAACCAAAUAAAUUAUUCGAUUUUCAAUGAUUCAACAUGAAAAUACUCUGAUACCACUUGUAGGAUAAUUUAUUACUUUAAAUCACUGGAUCUUUCAUGUUAAAUCAUCAAGAAAUACAUAAAUAUGGCGAAAGCAUACCUGAAUCAGAUAUGGUUAAUGUAAUAAUGAAUUCGCGAUUUUUUGUCUUCUAAAUCUACACGCAGCCUCCUUUUUCUCUCCGUGAUGGGAUGUAGAAGAGAAUAAAUAAUACGUACGUAUGAUCUGGAGACCAUAACCGUAUUGAUAUAGCGACGCCCUUUGACCUAAUUCGGCCCAUCAUAGAAUUAGGACUUGGGGCCGAUUUCUACACAUACAGAACUCACACUUUAAUUGGAUACAUUAAAGCCCAAAAAUCGAAGUCUUAUUAGAUCACUUUAACUGGACUCAACAGAAUUCAAUAGCCUUUAAUUAAUAUACAACAAUUUACACAUAUAAGCCCACACGAUUGUUUAAAAAUUCCUUACAAAUUAUUCCUCCCCAUUAGUUGUCAUCUCUUGUCCUUGUCGUUUAGACCGAAUCGAUGGGCUUAUAUGUGUGAAUAAUUGUGUGUUAAAUUAAAGGUUAUCAAAUUCGGUUAAACCCAGUUAAAAGUGAUCUAAUAAGGCUUCGAUUUUGGAUCAUUAUGCAUCCAAUUAAAGUGUGAGUUUAUAAGUGUGUAGAGAUCGGUUUCAAGUCCCUAAUUCUAUGAUAGGUCGAAUUAGGUCAAAGGGCAUUGCUAUAUAAAUACGGUUAUAAUCCCUAGAUCACAUUUACAUAUUGUUCAUUCUCUUCUGCAUCUCAUCACAGAAAAAAGAGAGACUGCAUGUAGAUUUGGAACACUAAAUCGUGAAAUUUAAUCAUUGCAUUAAUCAUGUCUGAUUCAAGUACGCUUCCACUAUAAUUCAUGUAUUUCUUGAUGAUCCAACAUGAAGAUCCGAUGAUUUAAAGUAAUAAAUUAUCAUACAAGUAGUAUCAGAGAUUUUUCAUGUUGAAUCAUUGAGAAUCAAAUAAUUUAUUUAGUUCUUGCAAUAUUUUUUGAAGUUUUCAGAUAUAACAAGGUAGAAGGAAGAGAAAUUUUUUUUUUUAGAGUUUUCAAUUUUUUGGUAAUUUGGGGCGGGGACUUCAUGUAUAAAUUAGAAUAUUUGAGGCCCCUAGCUACAAUUAGGGUUAGGAUUAUCAAAUUAGGGUUUCAGUCCCUAACAUUUUAAAGUACAUCCAAUUUGGGCCUUUAAGUUUUGGAUUUAAUAAUUCAGUCCCUAAUGUUUAAAAAUUAAUUAAUUCGGGUCAUUAAAGUUCUGAAUUUUAUAAUUAAAGCCCUCAAACUGUAAUUAUUAAUUCAAAUUGGCCCCCAAAGUUUAUAAUUAAUUCAAAUUGACUCUCAAAGUCUCAAAUUUUCAAAAUUUGAUCCUUUAAGUUUCGAAUUGGUCAAUUUUUUGCCUCUAAAGUUUUAAAUUUGUUUUAAUUGAUCCUCUAAAGUUUUGAAUUAAUUAAUUUUGGUCCCCUAAAAUUUCAAAUUUAUUAAUUUCAACUCCUAAAGUUUGGAAUUAAUUAAUUUUGUCCCUUUAAAGUUUUGAAUUAUUAAUCCUAAGGCCCCUAAAGUUUAAAACUAAACAAAAUACGCAAAGUUGGUGAUUUUCUUUCUCAAAUUUUGGUACUAAGGAUUCCUUUAAGAGAUAUAAUGUUCGAAAGUUAGAUAAUUGAAACAUGUUGUCAAAGCAACUUCUCUUGUGGAAAUUAAUUAACUUAGAAUAUUAAAAAAUGUUUGUGCAUGUGUUAUUCAUGGGUAUAUUAAUCGGCCUAAAGGAAGGCCAAUAUUUAGCCGAAUACAUGUGUACCUGUGAUGAUAAACAUGUGACAAUUAUUUGGUUUAAUGUGUGAUCAAUAAAUCGGUCCAAAAAAAGGUUUAUUGAUUGACACAUUGUUUUAUCGUUAAUGUUUGAUCACUACACCAAGAGUACCACUUACAAGUCAAUAUUUCUAUCCAAAAACUAGAUAUUGAUGUUGUGUUGGUAUCUUGUGAUGGACCCUACCACUAUUUUAGAUUAUUAUUAUUAUUAUUAUUUACACAUUAAAGAUAUUCAUAUGAGCUAUUCGUAAUAAUCGUUCUCUAAUUCUGUUUCAGGUAACGCUGCUAAUAUUUCUACUAGCAUCAAUUCAAUUCCAAUGCUAAAUGGCACAAAUUUUAGGGCAUGGCAAGAGAAAGUGAUUAUUGUUCUCGGAGUCAUGGACCUGAACCUUGCUUUACGGAUCGAUCAACCUGCUGCACUUACUGAUUAGAGUACCUCUAAUGACAAAAGGGAGAUGGAAAAGUGGGAACGAUCGAACCGCAUAAGCUUAAUGGUCAUGAAGCAUGCUAUUCUAGAAGCAUUUUGGGGCACUAUGUCCGAUAAGGUGAAUAAGGCUAAGGGUUUCCUUGAGGAUCUUGAGAAGAGGUUUGCCAAGAAUGAAAAUACUGAAACAAGUAUACUUUUGGCAAACCUUGUCUCAGGUAUAAAGGGAAAUGAAACAUUCGGGAGUACAUUAUGGAAAUGCCUCACGUUGCUUCAAAACUAAAGGCACUCAAGUUGGAUUUAUCUGAAGAAUUGUUGGUGCACUUAGUUCUGAUAUUCCUUUCAGCACAUUUCAAUCAAUUCAAGGUGAGCUACAACUGUUAAAAGGACUCAUGGUCCCUUAAUGAGUUCAUCUCACAUUGUGUUCAAGAAGAGAAAAGAUUGAAGCAUGAGAAGACAGAAAGUGCUCAUUUAGUCACCACCUCCAAGGACAAAAGGAAUAAAAAAAGGAAGAUUAAUAAGGAAACUGCAGGUACAGCAUCGCAAAAAAAAAACAGUAUAAGGAACCAACUAAAAGUGGUUGUUUCUUCUGUGGAGCUGCAGGUCAUAAGAAGAAGAAUUGCACCAAUUACCAUGCAUGGCGUGUAAAGAAAGGUAUUCUU
RNAcentral lists this long non-coding RNA (21451 nucleotides) under Olea europaea subsp. europaea. The stretch from base 12213 to 12319 matches the Rfam family "Plant small nucleolar RNA R71". Lineage: Eukaryota; Viridiplantae; Streptophyta; Magnoliopsida; Lamiales; Oleaceae. The record is from RNAcentral.